CCCAACUUCACAAACCCCACGUGCACGUUUGCGGGAGGAAGGGGGCUCUCCGCCCCCGGAAACCGCUUCACAAACCCUUGCAAACCCAGAAUGACACGAGCGACCUCUGAGUCGUGCGAAAAUUGAAACGACUUUCAACAACGGAUCUCUUGGCCCUCGCAUCGAUGAAGAACGCAGCGAAAUGCGAUAAGUAAUGUGAAUUGCAGAAUUCAGUGAAUCAUCGAAUCUUUGAACGCACCUUGCGCUCCUUGGUAUUCCGAGGAGCAUGCCUGUUUGAGUGUCUCGAAUUCAUCAACCCCUCCCGUCUUUGCUGACGGGCCGGGGCUGGACGUGGGGGCAUGCGACCGAGAGGCCGCUCCCCUCAAAUGCGUCGGUUGGACCUGUGGGUCGGACUCGACCGGGCGUUGUACCAUCCUCGCUCCGACGAGAAGUUCCCCGUCUAGCGUCCCUCCUCGACCUGCCGUCGUGCGGCGGUCAAAAGGAAAGGCGCGAGCCUUUCGAAAUCUGACCUCAAAUCAGGUAGGACUACCCGCUGGACUUAAGCAUAUCAAUAAGCGGAGGA
RNAcentral lists this ribosomal RNA (562 nucleotides) under uncultured Basidiomycota. RNAcentral's name for it is "eukaryotic LSU rRNA". The stretch from base 130 to 283 matches the Rfam family "5.8S ribosomal RNA". Lineage: Eukaryota; Fungi; Basidiomycota. The record is from RNAcentral.